UCCAAGCACAGAUCCAAGAUUAGGGA
Molecule: non-coding RNA, 26 nt
Filed under: Rattus norvegicus (Norway rat)
Lineage: Eukaryota; Metazoa; Chordata; Mammalia; Rodentia; Muridae
Source: RNAcentral